GCGAAGCAUCUGCCAGGAUGUUUUCAUUAAUCAAGAACGAAAGUUAGGGGAUCGAAGACGAUCAGAUACCGUCGUAGUCUUAACCAUAAACGAUGCCGACCAGCGAUUAGGAGACGUUGAAUACAAAACACCACCAUCGGUUGCGGUCAUCCUUGGCGUCUCGGUUUCGGCCGGGGCGCGGGGAUGGCUUAGCCCGGUGGCACCGGUGAAUGACUCCCCU
RNAcentral lists this ribosomal RNA (220 nucleotides) under Acanthamoeba genotype T4. Its description in RNAcentral is "partial 18S ribosomal RNA". The stretch from base 1 to 169 matches the Rfam family "Eukaryotic small subunit ribosomal RNA", at positions 945 to 1116 of the family's 1831-position model. Lineage: Eukaryota; Discosea; Longamoebia; Acanthamoebidae. The record is from RNAcentral.